Long non-coding RNA from Asparagus officinalis (garden asparagus), 1218 nucleotides. RefSeq lists it as uncharacterized. The record is from RefSeq and is a predicted model, not a curated record. Lineage: Eukaryota; Viridiplantae; Streptophyta; Magnoliopsida; Asparagales; Asparagaceae. The transcript is spliced from 3 exons.
UCUAUGUUUUUUUUUUUUCUUUAGUUUUGAAUAUUCUGGUUAGAAGCCAUUAGAUAAUCAACACAUCAUUUUAUUAGCAUAAUCCGGGUAGUAGCAGGUAAAGUGGUAAUUUCCUCUUUCUAUUACGAUGGUUGAUAGGAGGUUUCAAAUUUGUGAUGAAUCUGGUGGUCAUAAUUGGUAAGGAAAACUUUUGGUAAGAAUUAUGGUCGGUCUCCUUCACCGCAGAAACCGCGGAGCACCAAUUCUGUUCUUCCGUUCUUGACCGUCACGGCAAUUGCAUUGCUUAUUUAUGCACCAUAAAGGUGUGCAGUGCACAGUACAAGUGUGCCUGCUAUCAUUAAGUUAUAUAGGGAGAUACCUCUUUCCUCCCUCAAAAUUCCUGGUGCUAUAUGAUAACUUUUCAGGGAGAUAAACAGGUAUUUCCUCUAUCUUCUGACUUCAAGUAUGCUUACUUCUACUGUGACUAAAACUUCUUUUUUUAUGAUUUUAAAGGCUAAAUCAAAAAUUUCCGGUAGUCAGGAGCUAUCAUGGGGUAUUUUCUCUAUUAUAUAUUUCUCCCAUCAUGCUAUAUAUUUUAAAAUUUUCCCUGGUAAGGGGGUGGUAAAUAUGUUUUUCCUUCGAGUAAUCCGGCACAAACAUCGUUUUUUUCUGCAACUCCAAUUGAUAUGGUGGUGACGAGUCUUGCAUGGCGAAGCUGUACACCUUUGAAGGUGAGCACGGCUAGUGAGGCAUGAUGCCUGUCUGUCGUGCCAUUUAGAAUAUGACACAUUAUUAGACUGCUUACAUUAAUGUUUUGAUCAUUUUCUGUUGUAUUCUCAUCCUGCAUACUUCUAACAACUAUUAUUCUUGGUGGGAUUUUUCAGGUCAGGUUGAUUACCGACAAGGAGACAAAUAAACCUCGAGGAUAUAUAUAUAUGCUUUUAUCGAAUAUGCACACACGAUCGAGAGACAUGAAAACUGCAUAUAAACAAGCUGAUGGGAGGAAGUUGGAUAAUAAUUAAAGGAGUUCUUGUGGAUGUUGAGCGUGGUAGAACUUGAAUAUGCAUCUUAAUUGGGUUAAAAAUGGUUCCCAAUCUUUGCUUGCUGAUUGUUGGUGGACCGUUCAAAGCCUUGGUUUGUGUUUUGUUGAACUUGAAUAUGCAGACUGUAUCUUAGAUGAAGGGAUAUGUACUUGUUUGUAGACUGCAAUGACUUGUUGGUGUUUGAUCUGGAAACCAU